RNAcentral lists this ribosomal RNA (405 nucleotides) under uncultured bacterium. RNAcentral's name for it is "partial 16S ribosomal RNA". It matches the Rfam family "Bacterial small subunit ribosomal RNA", at positions 28 to 526 of the family's 1533-position model. The record is from RNAcentral.
GACGAACGCUGGCGGCGUGCUUAACACAUGCAAGUCGAGCGGAGCGGCGAACGGGUGAGGAAAGCGUGAGUAACUGCACCCCUCUCUGGGAUAACAGUUGGCAACGGCUGCUAAUACCGGAAAGUGGGGGAUGACUCGCGUCCUAUCAGCUUGUUGGUGGGGUAGUGGCCUACCAAGGCGACGACGGGUGGCCGGCCUGAGAGGGCGACCGGCCACAUUGCGCUGCGAUACUGCCCAAACUCCGUCGGGAGGCAGCAGGGGGGAAUAUUGCACAAUGGGGGAAGCUCUGAUGCAGCAACGCCGCGUGCGGGAUGACGUCCUUCGGGUUGUAAACCGCUUUCAGCCAUGACUCGGUAGUGGCAGAAGAAGCACCGGCUAACUACGUGUCAGCAGCCGCGGUAAUUC